UACAGAGGGUGCAAGCGUUAAUCGGAAUUACUGGGCGUAAAGCGUGCGUAGACGGUUAUGUAAGUCGGGUGUGAAAGCCCCGGGCUCAACCUGGGAAUUGCAUUCGAGACUGCAUAGCUAGGGUGCGGAAGAGGGAAGCGGAAUUUCCGGUGUAGCGGUGAAAUGCGUAGAGAUCGGGAGGAAGGCCGGUGGCGAAGGCGGCGCUCUGGAACGUUUCUGACACUGAGGCUCGAAAGCGUGGGGAGCAAACAGG
This 253-nucleotide ribosomal RNA is filed under the name uncultured bacterium. RNAcentral's name for it is "partial 16S ribosomal RNA". It matches the Rfam family "Bacterial small subunit ribosomal RNA", at positions 524 to 776 of the family's 1533-position model. The record is from RNAcentral.